RNAcentral lists this ribosomal RNA (395 nucleotides) under uncultured bacterium. Its description in RNAcentral is "bacterial SSU rRNA". It matches the Rfam family "Bacterial small subunit ribosomal RNA", at positions 505 to 898 of the family's 1533-position model. The record is from RNAcentral.
GUGUCAGCCGCCGCGGUAAAACGUAGGAUCCGAGCGUUAUCCGAAUUUACUGGGCGUAAAGCGCGUGCAGGCGGUCCGAUAAGUUGGAUGUGAAAUCUCCUGGCUCAACUGGGAGAGGUCGUUCAAUACUGUCGGACUUGAGGAUGGUAGAGGGAGGUGGAAUUCCCGGUGUAGUGGUGAAAUGCGUAGAUAUCGGGAGGAACACCAGUGGCGAAAGCGGCCUCCUGGACCAUUUCUGACGCUCAGACGCGAAAGCUAGGGGAGCGAACGGGAUUAGAAACCCCGGUAGUCCUAGCUGUAAACGAUGUGAACUUGGCGUUGGUGGGGUAAAAGCCAUCAGUGCCGUAGCUAACGCGUUAAGUUCACCGCCUGGGGACUACGGCCGCAAGGUUAAA